GACAGAGCCCCGACUGGGGACAGGCCACCUCGGGUGGGAGCAUGUGGGCGGCCGAUGGGCCCCUUCCCACGGACGUGGAGCCGUGGGGACAAGGACGUCCUUGUCCCAGCUGUGCCAAACCCCUUGGGAAUGGUUGGGGCAGGUGCUGCAGGGUCUAUUCCUUCUCGGUGUUGGCUCUAGGCUCCUUAGGGACUGAUUGCUGUCCCUGUGCCUUCCUCAUUUUAGGGUGGUCUGUAAACUUCUGCUGUGUCAGGCGGGUUUGUGGCUGGAGUAGCUCUUCCCUCUGCACAUGUGGCUCUGUUAUAAGUAGGGUCUCCUGGGGACUGGGGGAAUGGGGUUAGUCGUCUGGCGCUGUGGACUCUCUUCUUCCUCGGGCUGCUGCUUUGCUAAUGUAAGUUUCCUGUGAUGGACCUGGUCCCUGGUAGGCAGUGGGGUAGUGGGGUAGGCAAGGCUCUCGGCACGGGAAGAAGCAAGAAUGGAAUUUACACCUUGGGACUGGGAGAGGAUGGGCGCAGAGCCACUGUGGGACACGCUGGAGUCCAACAGCAGAGAGAGAAGGCAGGAGGUCCUGCCAUCCAUCCUUGUCCUGCUCUGGAGACCCCUGCUGUCUCCCCAGAGCAGGAGGACGAGCUGGUUGUCCUGGACUGGAGCCACCAUGGAGACCACAGGCUCUGGAGAUCCUUGGCUGGUGGGGGGUGCCCACAUCCCCACCCUGACAGGACAGUUCUCUGCCUGGCUUGGCUGGGCCAGAGCAGCUGGGUGGCGCUGCUGGAUGCUGUUACGUGCCCUGAGGAGGAAGGGUUUUCGAAGGCUGUAUGCCCCAGGGAGGAGGAAGAAGAGGAGGACAAAUACAGGAGACCUGUCACCUUCACACUGGGAAAUGAGAUACUGGGGCUGGGCCCAGAGAGAGAGUUUCAGAACCCUGAUGCUGAGGUUUAUAUGCACUUCUUGAGGAGCCACUGCUGUUACGAUGCCAUCCCCACCAGCUGCAAACUCGUUGUCUUUGACAUCUCCCUAGAGCAGAUCAAGAAAGCCUUUUUGGCACUGGUGGCCAACGGGGUGCGUGCUGCCCCUCUCUGGGACAGCAAGACGCAGAGCUUUGUGGGGAUGCUCACUAUCACUGACUUCAUCAACAUCCUCCACCGCUACUACCGCUCACCUUUGGUUCAGAUCUACGAGGUGGAGGAGCAUAAGAUUGAGACCUGGAGAGAGGUGUACCUGCAGGGCUCCCUCAAGCCACUGGUCUACAUCUCUCCAAGCAAUAGCCUCUUCAAUGCUGUCUACUCCCUGAUCAAGCACAAAAUCCACCGCCUGCCUGUCAUUGAGCCUGUCUCGGGCAAUGUCCUGCACAUCCUGACGCACAAGCGCAUCCUCAAGUUUCUCCACAUCUUUGAUUCUACCAUUCCCAAACCACGCUUCCUGAAGAAAACAGUGCAGGAACUGUGUAUUGGCACCUUCCAUGAUCUGGCUGUCGUGCCUGAGACUGCCCCAGUGUACACCGCCUUGGAGAUUUUUGUGGAUCGUCGUGUCUCUGCCUUGCCUGUCAUCAAUGAUGCUGGGCAAGUAGUUGGCCUGUACUCGCGGUUUGAUGUCAUUCACCUGGCAGCCCAAAAGAGCUACAACAACCUGGACAUCAGUGUGAGGGAGGCACUGCAGCAGCGCAGCGUUGCCCUGGAGGGGGUCCUCACCUGCUACCCCCACGAACCUAUGGAGGACAUAAUUGACCGCAUUGCCAAGGAGCAGGUCCAUCGCCUGGUUCUGGUGGAUGAGAACCGGCACCCACGGGGAAUCAUCUCCCUCUCUGACAUCCUGCAGGCCCUUGUGCUCACUCCUGCAGGUAUUGAUGCUCUUAACUCUUAGCCCACGGUGCUCCAUCUUUCUCCACUUGCACCCUCAAUUUUUCUCCACUUCAGGCAUUGAUCGAUCCUCACUCUGAAGACACCAGGGAAAUGCCACUGUCUUGUCUGACUCAGGGAUCUCUGCGUGAUCUGUGAGAAGGAGGCUUGGGCCUGAAGGCUCUCUGUGGGAGGACAUGCCUGUUCACUACAGUCCUUGGGCUCGUCUUGAGUCCAGGGCUAGAUCCUGCCAGUCUUGGAGAGGCAGAAACACUGAAAAUGGGACCCAGGGGUUGCCUCCUGCCAGUGAGCACACAGUGAUGCUCAGUGGGCACUGUGCUGGAGGGGCUGCAACAUGCCUGCAGCAGGGCAGAGACCCAUAUAGGCCCAGUGGACCUGACCACCCCUCUGCCAUCCUGCUGAUGGAUUUGAGCGUUUCUGUUGUGGCUCUUUCCUAGUGAACACAGUCCCGCUGUCUGUGCCUGGUGCCUGGUAGUGUAGGCUCAGCUGCACACACAGGCUUUUUUAUUUUGGGGUCACAUGGGGCUGGAGCUCUCUGGCAGAGGCACAGUCUGUGCCAGAGCUAGCAGCAGAACGGGCACUUGCAUGGAGACCCUGUGCACAUUUUGGGGUGGGCAGGGGUUAUUUAUUUAUUUGUUAGUCUGUUCAACCUUGCUGUAAAAAAGCAGCCUGAUCAAAGAACUGCCUCUUGCCUUUCUGGGGUAAAGCUGGGCAUGACUCCUCUGGAGGGAACCAGGCUGGGGAAGGGGCACUGGCAGAGUAGCACCUCCGCCCAUGUGGGUAGAACCAAGAGGAUGGGGACACAGGGCAUGCAGUCUUCAUCAUCUUGAUGGUGUGCAGCUGCCUUCAGGGACACACUGAGUGACAAAAGCUUUGGUACCAGCAAGAUUUCCACCUGCUGCUUCCCUCAGUCCAAGAAGAAGGAAAGUAUGAAGGGGUGACUGUUUAAAAUGUCCCAUGCCCCAUCCCUUAAGGACCCUGGGCAAAUAGCAGUGCAUCCCCUGCCUGUGGCUGCUACCAGCUGUGAGCCUUGCAAUGGUCCUGGCUUGGAGGUAGGGGAUGCUGAGCUCAUCUUUCUCCUGCUGCUUUGCUUGCAGCAAGCCCAGCCAUUCCCCUGAUCCCCUAUCAGCAUUUCAGUGCAAUUAAUGGCUGACAGUGGAAAGUGCCAGGAACUCAACACCCCUCCUGUGCUGGCUGGUUCUGCCAGGGGAUGCAAUACCAGUGCUGGGUGGUGACAGGCCUACUCCCAUCAUUGGGAAUGUGCUGUGUUAUUGCUGUGCUUUCCCAGGACCAGGGCUGGCUCAGUCCCUUGGGAAAGGCGCAAAUCCCAAACGCCCCAGCACUCAACCCUCCCCUGGGGGCAAGGGGAAAAGUGAGGCACAGAGAAGUUUCUGAGGCCAAGGUCAGCUGUUCAGAGAGGACCCAGAUGUCCUGGCUCCAGGCACAGAUCCACGCACAGCUACACAAGGACUGGACGACGGAAAUACCGAAUGGCUGCAAGCCCCCUCCCUGCUUUCCCCCAGCCCCAAAAGAGCUCCCAGG
Poecile atricapillus (Black-capped chickadee) is the source of this 3398-nucleotide RNA transcript. It is a transcript of the gene named protein kinase AMP-activated non-catalytic subunit gamma 3, with no coding region annotated. Lineage: Eukaryota; Metazoa; Chordata; Aves; Passeriformes; Paridae. The transcript is spliced from 13 exons. The record is from RefSeq and is a predicted model, not a curated record.